Molecule: ribosomal RNA, 982 nt
Filed under: Cortinarius sp. PDD 104141
Lineage: Eukaryota; Fungi; Basidiomycota; Agaricomycetes; Agaricales; Cortinariaceae
Description: eukaryotic LSU rRNA
Rfam family: Eukaryotic large subunit ribosomal RNA
Source: RNAcentral
GUGACCUCAAAUCAGGUAGGACUACCCGCUGAACUUAAGCAUAUCAAUAAGCGGAGGAAAAGAAACUAACAAGGAUUCCCCUAGUAACUGCGAGUGAAGCGGGAAAAGCUCAAAUUUAAAAUCUGGCAGUCUCUGGCUGUCCGAGUUGUAAUCUAGAGAAGUGUUAUCCGCGCUGGACCGUGUACAAGUCUCCUGGAAUGGAGCGUCAUAGAGGGUGAGAAUCCCGUCUCUGACACGGACUGCCAGGGCUUUGUGAUAUGCUCUCAAAGAGUCGAGUUGUUUGGGAAUGCAGCUCAAAAUGGGUGGUAAAUUCCAUCUAAAGCUAAAUAUUGGCGAGAGACCGAUAGCGAACAAGUACCGUGAGGGAAAGAUGAAAAGAACUUUGGAAAGAGAGUUAAACAGUACGUGAAAUUGCUGAAAGGGAAACGCUUGAAGUCAGUCGCGUCGAUCAGGGAUCAACCUUGCUUUUGCUUGGUGUAUUUUCUGGUUGACGGGUCAGCAUCAAUUUUGACUAUUGGAAAAAGGUCAAGGUAAUGUGGCAUCUUUGGAUGUGUUUAUAGCCCUUGGUUGCAUACAAUAGUUGGGAUUGAGGAACUCAGUACGCCGCAAGGCCGGGUUUUUUUAAACCACGUACGUGCUUAGGAUGCUGGCAUAAUGGCUUUAAUCGACCCGUCUUGAAACACGGACCAAGGAGUCUAACAUGCCUGCGAGUGUUUGAGUGGAAAACUCGAGCGCGUAAUGAAAGUGAAAGUUGAGAUCCCUGUCGUGGGGAGCAUCGACGCCCAGACCAGACCUUUUGUGACGGUUCUGCGGUAGAGCAUGUAUGUUGGGACCCGAAAGAUGGUGAACUAUGCCUGAAUAGGGUGAAGCCAGAGGAAACUCUGGUGGAGGCUCGUAGCGAUUCUGACGUGCAAAUCGAUCGUCAAAUUUGGGUAUAGGGGCGAAAGACUAAUCGAACCAUCUAGUAGCUGGUUCCUGCCGA